UUGACUGCUCCUUAAACCAAGCACACUCCCUGGGCCAGCUGCGGGAGAGGAAGCGUAGCAAUAACUAAACUUCAAAACCUACCCAGGGAGGCAGCGGGGGAGAAGCAAAGAAAUAAAUGGCCCAGCUGCCCUGCUAUUCACCGAACGCACUGUCCUCGAAGGCUUCACGGUUACAGUCCAUCAUGGAGUGAGGUCAGCCAGAAACUAAAGAAGAAACUGUAGAAAAGCUCUGCUUGCUGGCUCCAUCUCAGUGAGAUCCUCAGAUGAAAGCAUGGCAAACACUUGCCUCAAGUAGAUGAAAGCCCUGUGGUGACAAGUGCAGUGUCUUGGCGACACAGAGAGGAAAUGACUAUGAAAGAACCUGAGAUCAAAUGCUGUGCCUGCCUGACACAACACCAAGUUCUGGACUGAGCUGUGGGUACCAUGGAAACAGGAAGUAAGGAGAAGAAAUAGAGUUUCUGCAGUAUCAGUCCAUACAGACACAUGACCAAGAGAUGAGGGGAUGAUGGGUGUCCAGUACAAAGCAAUGUAGACAGAUGAUAUGGAGUUCAUGCCUUCUCUUGGAACUAUCCAAGUCUCCUGGUAUUUGUAGGAUUCCAGCAGAAAGAGAGAGCAUCAGGCUGAAAUCAUUCCCACAGUUCCAGAAAGGUACUUGUCCUAGCUAAGAACCAUGACCAAAGCAACCCUGGGGAAGGAAGGGUUUAUUUGGACUAUG
This is a long non-coding RNA of Mus caroli (Ryukyu mouse), 715 nucleotides long. RefSeq lists it as uncharacterized. Lineage: Eukaryota; Metazoa; Chordata; Mammalia; Rodentia; Muridae. The record is from RefSeq and is a predicted model, not a curated record.